Small nucleolar RNA from Ornithorhynchus anatinus (platypus), 138 nucleotides. The record is from RefSeq and is a predicted model, not a curated record. Lineage: Eukaryota; Metazoa; Chordata; Mammalia; Monotremata; Ornithorhynchidae.
GCCCUCUCAGGAUCGCACCUGGAGAGUUUCUAGUACUCUACCAGUCUCGGCUUCGAGAGGAAGAGUCAAGCUAAGACAUACCCAUUCCAUUCCUAGCUUGGGCAGUGGCUAGCGAGUGGCAGGCCAUCUGCUACAAGU